Small nuclear RNA from Nyctereutes procyonoides (raccoon dog), 103 nucleotides. The record is from RefSeq and is a predicted model, not a curated record. Lineage: Eukaryota; Metazoa; Chordata; Mammalia; Carnivora; Canidae.
UUGCUUCUGGAGCACACAUACUGAAACAGGAAUAAUACAGAGAAAAUUAACAUGGCCCCUGUGCAAGUAUGACACACAGGUUCAUGAGCAUUUCAUAUUUUUU